AAUAAGCGGAGGAAAAGAAACCAACAGGGAUUGCCUUAGUAACGGCGAGUGAAGCGGCAAAAGCUCAAAUUUGAAAUCUGGCACCUUCGGUGUCCGAGUUGUAAUUUGAAGAAGGUAACUUUGGAGUUGGCUCUUGUCUAUGUUCCUUGGAACAGGACGUCACAGAGGGUGAGAAUCCCGUGCGAUGAGAUGCCCAAUUCUAUGUAAAGUGCUUUCGAAGAGUCGAGUUGUUUGGGAAUGCAGCUCUAAGUGGGUGGUAAAUUCCAUCUAAAGCUAAAUAUUGGCGAGAGACCGAUAGCGAACAAGUACAGUGAUGGAAAGAUGAAAAGAACUUUGAAAAGAGAGUGAAAAAGUACGUGAAAUUGUUGAAAGGGAAGGGCUUGAGAUCAGACUUGGUAUUUUGCGAUCCUUUCCUUCUUGGUUGGGUUCCUCGCAGCUUACUGGGCCAGCAUCGGUUUGGAUGGUAGGAUAAUGACUAAGGAAUGUGGCUCUACUUCGGUGGAGUGUUAUAGCCUUGGUUGAUACUGCCUGUCUAGACCGAGGACUGCGUCUUUGACUAGGAUGUUGGCAUAAUGAUCUUAAGCCACCC
RNAcentral lists this ribosomal RNA (589 nucleotides) under Debaryomyces subglobosus. RNAcentral's name for it is "eukaryotic LSU rRNA". It matches the Rfam family "Eukaryotic large subunit ribosomal RNA", at positions 45 to 650 of the family's 3401-position model. The record is from RNAcentral. Lineage: Eukaryota; Fungi; Ascomycota; Pichiomycetes; Serinales; Debaryomycetaceae.